RNAcentral lists this microRNA precursor (80 nucleotides) under Mus spretus (western wild mouse). RNAcentral's name for it is "predicted gene, 55419 (ENSMSPG00010015197.1)". Lineage: Eukaryota; Metazoa; Chordata; Mammalia; Rodentia; Muridae. The record is from RNAcentral.
GUAGUAUGUGUGUGUAUGGGUGUGUGUAUGUGUGUGAGCACAUGCAUACAUACACACAUACACUCAUGUGCAUAUGCAUA